RNAcentral lists this long non-coding RNA (239 nucleotides) under Elaeis guineensis (African oil palm). RNAcentral describes it as "long non-coding RNA (EGUI_LNC058054)". The record is from RNAcentral. Lineage: Eukaryota; Viridiplantae; Streptophyta; Magnoliopsida; Arecales; Arecaceae.
AUGGCAAUGAGACUGAAGGCAAAAAUAUUCAGGUCGGUGGGGCUCUCGAUCGGUCCAUCCUUGGAUCAAAUCUAAGGUGGAACCUCGAACCACAACCGUCGUGGAUCCCCUAGCUCAAUCUAAACCAUCUGGUUCACAUGCCCCCUAAACAUAGGCUAGGAGCAGAGAGAUCUAUCCAUACCGAGUCCGACCUGAAAGGAUCCAAGCUUAAUAUCAUUUUUCUGACUGAUUUUGGCUUG